Molecule: long non-coding RNA, 1421 nt
Organism: Neopsephotus bourkii (Bourke's parrot)
Lineage: Eukaryota; Metazoa; Chordata; Aves; Psittaciformes; Psittacidae
Exons: 2
Source: RefSeq, a predicted model, not a curated record
CUAUGUUGUAAUUUUCUUCUGUAGAUUAAAUUUUCAUGGUUUUAGGAAGGAGUCAUCCAAGUCACCUGCCAUGGGUGUUCUGUGUUCUGCAGUGGCAUUUUGCUGUCACACAGCCUGGGCUGCUCCACCCUGGGGCAGAGCUGGAAAGCCUCACCUCUGCCUUUGCGUCUCAGAGGUCUGAGACAGACUGGUCUCAUAGGCUGGUUUGGGUUGGAAAGGACCUUAUAGCUCAUUUAGUUCCAACCCCCUGCCACAGUCAGGGCCACCUUCCACUAGAGCAGGUUGCUCCAAGCCCCUGUGUCCAACCUGGCCUUGAACACUGCCAGGGAUGGGGCAGCCACAGCUUCUCUGGCCAGCCUGUGCCAGUGUUUUAUCACCUUCAUAGCAAAGAAUUUCUUCCUAACAGCUAAUCUAAAUCUCCCCUUUUUGGCAGGAGGGAGCUUAGAAUAAUAGACUGACAUUUUCCUUCCAACCAAACUCUCACUGAGGAUAGAUUUAAUAUAAUAAUUUGUUAUAAUCUUGGGUUCCUGACUUCACGUAUUAAAGUGAUACGCUGCACACAGCCUACACGCUUCCCUAGGCAAUCAAAGCAAGUGUGGAGACUGCCAAGCCAGAAAUGCCACUGUGCAAACAAACGACUUUUCAUAACUAACUCAGUGGUUUUAUUUUAGACAAGAAGGAAGUGGAAUCAGAGCUGUCAGGAGUAACAGGUGGAGAAGGCACCCUCCAGUGCAUCAGAAAGAUUAUUACUCCUACUCAAAGAUAUUUAAGAAAUCAUUUGGAGUCCCUGUUGUGGUUAUUAGGGGAAGAUCCAACACCAGCCACUCAACAAGGCCACAUAAUCCCAAUUCACAGAGCUGACAACUGACAAGCUCCUGCCCUUUGCAUCAGAUAAAAACCUGUGUGGAAGGCAGAAAUGGACACUGUUGCACUGAUUUCUCAAUGACAGCUGCUUGAGGUAAGCACCUCUGCAUUUGAGGAAAAUACCAGAGGGACAGGAAAAAUGAGGCCAGCACUUGAAGCAAAAGGGUUUUAUUAGCUUCUGAUAUUUCAACUCUACCUAUUAAGCUGCAGCUAGAAACAACAACAAAAAAAAAAACAAAAAAAAAACAACCAACCAUAUCUUUGUAAAAAGACUAACAAACAAUCCAUAAAAGUCUUCCACAUGUAUUAAAAGUUUUAAAUUCAAAAUAAAACUGUCAAGAUUUCAUUUUCUAACAGCGUCUUUAUGAAAUAAUAUCCAAGUUCUCUUCCUAAGUACAGAUACAAGGCAAACAAGCAUCCUACAAAAUAAUCUCUAGAAAAAGGUAGUAUAGGAGGGAAAUUAAGACAGUGUAAUAAUCCACUAGCCAGACACACAGGUUAAAUGUAACACAACCAUACCAUCAAUGAAAUACUUUAAAACAAAAAUAAAUUAAAGU